GAUACUGAUCUAACCUGACUUCGCUUUCGUUGUCCCGGUUUACACUGUCCGGAGAACGACCGAGGGAUCGAUGUUGGGUGCUAUUGUAACUGGUCACCACUUUAUCCAGAACGUCCAAGUAACGUGUCCCGGAGCGGAUUUAGACCAGGGACCAGUCUUCCUAAUCCGGAGUUGUCGGAGUACAUGUGUACGAAGUCAACGUGUGAUGUUCGUCAAUGGCUGGAGGUGGCGACGUCUGUGGUUAGUGGACAUGGACAACCCAGUGUUAUCGUCAGUGGCUUGAGAUGGCCAUAAUGAGCUCCAGUGUAGCGGUUUACUGUUGUAUCUGAACAGUAGGACAGGCGGAACUAUUGGAACGAGCGUGACAAUUGCUACUAUUGUAAAUGAAUGCUGGAAACAGAAACGUUCAGAUGUGUAUUUUGCAGCGCUGAGACUUUUCCCUAGAUGAACUGGGGUGUAUUUUAGUUCAUCGAGACAUUUUUGUAUACAUGUAUUUUGGGGAUGGGUUUAGUUUUGGUGUAUUAUAGAGGGAUGGUGUGGUAUGUUGUCUGAUGUGUGAUAUUCAUGUGUAUAUAUUUUGUAAUUAAAUUAUUUGAAUAUCA
This is a long non-coding RNA of Gigantopelta aegis, 602 nucleotides long. RefSeq lists it as uncharacterized. The transcript is spliced from 2 exons. The record is from RefSeq and is a predicted model, not a curated record. Lineage: Eukaryota; Metazoa; Mollusca; Gastropoda; Neomphalida; Peltospiridae.